UAACCUGCCCUGUACAGGGGGAGUAACAGUCAGAAAUGACUGCUAAUACCGCAUAAGACCACAGCACCGCAUGGUGCAGGGGUAAAAACGUACCGGUGGUACAGGAUGGACCCGCGUCUGAUUAGCUGGUUGGUGAGGUAACGGCUCACCAAGGCGACGAUCAGUAGCCGGCUUGAGAGAGUGAACGGCCACAUUGGGACUGAGACACGGCCCAAACUCCUACGGGAGGCAGCAUG
This 236-nucleotide ribosomal RNA is filed under the name uncultured bacterium. RNAcentral's name for it is "partial 16S ribosomal RNA". It matches the Rfam family "Bacterial small subunit ribosomal RNA", at positions 122 to 353 of the family's 1533-position model. The record is from RNAcentral.